CCUACGGGGAGCAGCAGUGGGGAAUAUUGGACAAUGGGGGCAACCCUGAUCCAGCCAUGCCGCGUGUGUGAAGAAGGCCCUCGGGUUGUAAAGCACUUUCAGUGAGGAAGAACGCCUGGUGGUUAAUACCCAUCAGGAAAGACAUCACUCACAGAAGAAGCACCGGCUAACUCCGUGCCAGCAGCCGCGGUAAUACGGAGGGUGCGAGCGUUAAUCGGAAUUACUGGGCGUAAAGCGCGCGUAGGUGGCUUGAUAAGCCGGUUGUGAAAGCCCCGGGCUCAACCUGGGAACGGCAUCCGGAACUGUCAAGCUAGAGUGCAGGAGAGGAAGGUAGAAUUCCCGGUGUAGCGGUGAAAUGCGUAGAGAUCGGGAGGAAUACCAGUGGCGAAGGCGGCCUUCUGGACUGACACUGACACUGAGGUGCGAAAGCGUGGGUAGCAAACAGGAUUAGAUACCCUGGUAGUC
This 465-nucleotide ribosomal RNA is filed under the name Vreelandella stevensii. Its description in RNAcentral is "partial 16S ribosomal RNA". It matches the Rfam family "Bacterial small subunit ribosomal RNA", at positions 338 to 795 of the family's 1533-position model. Lineage: Bacteria; Pseudomonadati; Pseudomonadota; Gammaproteobacteria; Oceanospirillales; Halomonadaceae. The record is from RNAcentral.